This 962-nucleotide long non-coding RNA is filed under the name Mytilus galloprovincialis (Mediterranean mussel). The record is from RNAcentral. Lineage: Eukaryota; Metazoa; Mollusca; Bivalvia; Mytilida; Mytilidae.
CCAACACACAUUUCAGUUUAAUUAUUUUAUUCGUAAGUGGGGCUAGUUUGUAGCCUUUAACUCUAUUCAUACUUGUACUAUUCAUAAGUCGGGCUAGUUGACAUUCACGUUACCGAAAUAUUAAUACUCACUUCUUACUGCUAUAUUAAAAAAAAGGAAUAAUAUAAGAAGUUUCUAUAAGGUUUUCAAUGGGAUAGCAAAUAAGUGAGGCGAGUUGGCAGGAGUAAUAUUUACGGAAUUUAACUUAUAUACAACGGGAUAACAUCUUUUUCCAUAAGUGGGGCGAGUUGGCAGGAGUAAUAUUUACGGAAUUUAACUUAUAUACAACGGGAUAACAUCUUUUUCCAUAAGUGGGGGCGAGUUGGCAGGAGUAAUAUUUACGGAAUUUAACUUAUAUACAACGGGAUAACAUCUUUUUCCAUAAGUGGGGCGAGUUGGCAUUACUACAUUCAUCCUGGUUAAUAAUAUAAUAUAAAUCUAGAUAUUAUCGUUUUCUUUCAAGUGGGGCGAGUUGGCAGGAGUAAUAUUCACGUAAUAACAUCUUUUUCCAUAAGUGGGGCGAGUUGGCAUUAAUACAUUCAUCCUGGUUAAUAAUAUAUUAAUCUAGAUAUUAUCGUUUUCUAUAAGUGGGGCGAGUUGGCAGGAGUAAUGUUUACGGAAUAUAAGUUAUAUACAACGGGAUAACAUCUUUUUCCAUGAGUGGGGCGAGUUGGCUUUACUACAUUCAUCCUGGUUAAUAAUAUGUUAAUCUAGAUUUUAUCGUUUUCCAUUCAGUGGGGCGAGUUUUCAGGAGUAAUAUUAACGGGAUUUAACACAUUUCACAAGUGGGGCGAUUUUUUAAAAAGUGGGGCGAGUUGGUGAUCCAGGUUGGGGCGUUUUUUUUUAAGUGGGGCGAGUUGGUGAAAAAGUGGGGCGACUAGGAGUGGGGCGACUUGCCAGUGGGGCGACUUGUCAUGGAUUCG